GUAAAAUGCUAAAUUCAGUACCUAGCACCAGGGAACACCUUAUCCUUAUUAGCUAAGUGUGCUGAAGAAAGAAUAAUAACGUGUGGUGCAAAUUGGGUCUUAAUAAAUGAAUAGUCUUCUAGUUCUUGUCUUGGCCUCCACUGGCCUGGCUGGGGUUGCCCUUGGGUCCUGCAUCUCAGACAGAGCUUCCACUGAAGUUGCCAGACUGGGGCGCCAGUCUGAGCCCUCCCUCCUCUGCCACCCCCCAUGGACUUCAGCUGGAGAAGCUUGGCUCUGCCCACCUGCUACAAAACACCUGCAGAGUGUGUUCGGCCAGAGUGAUGCUGUACCCUCAGCUUUGUCACUCAGAGCCUUGGGCUAACUUGCAGAAUCCUGCCUCCCACCCUGCUUCCAUCAGUGAUGUUGCUGCUGAGGACCUGAGAGGUUCAGCUCAGCCCCCUGACUUGUCCAGAAAGAUGCCGUCCUGACCUACAAGGUUUCAUUUUUAAAGUGUAUUUUUUUCUUUAAUGUGUUCAUCCAGAUAAAAUGCAGGACUCACGAUUACACCCUGGGUGUUUAUUGCCAUAGCGUUUCCUUUGGGCUCUUCAUUGUUUACUGACCGGGAAGAUUAUGCACGCAGGAGAUUAAGGAAGGAAAUUCAUUAAUUGCAUAGCCAACCACGGGCUUCAUCGCAUAUGCCAGCAGCUCACCUCCAAUGUGUCUCAGCAGCUAAUGCAGUUGAAAUCUCAAACUAGGGGGUUAUCCUUUCCAGAUUUUUUUUUUUUUGGCUUUUUCAGGGCUGUACCUGCAGCAUAUGGAAAUUCCCAGGCUAGGGGUUGAAUCUGAGCUUCAGCUGCCAGCCUAUACCACAGCCACAGCAACGCCAGAUGCUUAACCCACUGAGCGAGGCCAGGGAUUGAACCUGCCAUCCUCAUGGGUAUUAGUCGGGUUCGUUAUUGCUGAGCCACGACCCCCCUUUGGGACUUUAAUGGAGGCAAAUCUAAAGACGUUUGGACUCCGAGGGUGGGAGGGAGGUGGUUUGCUACCAGGAACAACCUCAAGAACAAUUCAAACUGACCUGCUGAUUCCCAGAUGUGAGAGACUGCAGGACAGCACAGAGGCUGGACUUGGAGCUGGCACCUGUUGCCGGCUGAGUCUCUUGAUGAACGGAAGCUGAUUAUGGCAGCUUGUGAUUUAUUCUUGGACUGAAGGGGCUGGAGUAGAAGAACAACCCCUUGGAGAGCAGGGAUUAAACAGAUGCUUUUGCCCAGCCUCUCCUACUGUACGGUCCUUGCUAGCAAAUCAUAUGAUCAGGUUCCAGGCCACUGACGUGGGUGGAAGAGUUGGGAUGACCACUGAUGCUCCAUGGGUUUUCAUGGCUGACCAUUGAUGCUCUGAACAAGGGAAUCGCCAACCUUGAAACUUUCAGGAAAUUGUAUGGAUUUGGUGGGGGGUGGGGUGGGGGGCAGCGAGACUAGUUGUACUGGUGGCUUAGAAAGUCCGACAGAUUAAAAACAUGGUUCCUGGUAGUAUUUUUGAAGUUCUCUGUGGUAAUUUACAUCAAUCCUUAAAUAAAGCCUAACUGUUUUUUUCUUUUUAGGGCCA
Molecule: long non-coding RNA, 1584 nt
Filed under: Sus scrofa (pig)
Lineage: Eukaryota; Metazoa; Chordata; Mammalia; Artiodactyla; Suidae
Description: lncRNA (ENSSSCG00015034392.1)
Source: RNAcentral